GUGUCAGCCGCCGCGGUAAUACGAAGGGGGCUAGCGUUGUUCUGAUUUAUUGGGCGUAAAGAGCUCGUAGGCGGUUUCGUAAGUCGGGUGUGAAAACUUCAGGCUCAACCUGGAGACGCCACCCGAUACUUCGAUGACUAGAGUCCGGUAGGGGAGUGUGGAAUUCCUGGUGUAGCGGUGAAAUGCGCAGAUAUCAGGAGGAACACCAACGGCGAAGGCAGCACUCUGUGCCGGAACUGACGCUGAGGAGCGAAAGCGUGGGUAGCGAACAGGAUUAGAUACCCUGGUAGUCC
This 293-nucleotide ribosomal RNA is filed under the name uncultured bacterium. RNAcentral's name for it is "partial 16S ribosomal RNA". It matches the Rfam family "Bacterial small subunit ribosomal RNA", at positions 505 to 796 of the family's 1533-position model. The record is from RNAcentral.